RNAcentral lists this ribosomal RNA (741 nucleotides) under Lacticaseibacillus zeae. RNAcentral's name for it is "bacterial SSU rRNA". It matches the Rfam family "Bacterial small subunit ribosomal RNA", at positions 51 to 755 of the family's 1533-position model. The record is from RNAcentral. Lineage: Bacteria; Bacillati; Bacillota; Bacilli; Lactobacillales; Lactobacillaceae.
AUACAUGCAAGUCGAACGAGUUUUGGUCGAUGAACGGUGCUUGCAUUGUGAUUCAACUUAAAACGAGUGGCGGACGGGUGAGUAACACGUGGGUAACCUGCCCUUAAGUGGGGGAUAACAUUUGGAAACAGAUGCUAAUACCGCAUAAAUCCAAGAACCGCAUGGUUCUUGGCUGAAAGAUGGCGYAAGCUAUCGCUUUUGGAUGGACCCGCGGCGUAUUAGCUAGUUGGUGAGGUAACGGCUCACCAAGGCGAUGAUACGUAGCCGAACUGAGAGGUUGAUCGGCCACAUUGGGACUGAGACACGGCCCAAACUCCUACGGGAGGCAGCAGUAGGGAAUCUUCCACAAUGGACGCAAGUCUGAUGGAGCAACGCCGCGUGAGUGAAGAAGGCUUUCGGGUCGUAAAACUCUGUUGUUGGAGAAGAAUGGUCGGCAGAGUAACUGUUGUCGGCGUGACGGUAUCCAACCAGAAAGCCACGGCUAACUACGUGCCAGCAGCCGCGGUAAUACGUAGGUGGCAAGCGUUAUCCGGAUUUAUUGGGCGUAAAGCGAGCGCAGGCGGUUUUUUAAGUCCUGAUGUGAAAGCCCUCGGCUUAACCGAGGAAGCGCAUCGGAAACUGGGAAACUUGAGUGCAGAAGAGGACAGUGGAACUCCAUGUGUAGCGGUGAAAUGCGUAGAUAUAUGGAAGAACACCAGUGGCGAAGGCGGCUGUCUGGUCUGUAACUGACGCUGAGGCUCG